AUCCAGCUGACGAAUCCCAAAUAGGACGAAAAGCUCGUCUUGGAU
Molecule: non-coding RNA, 45 nt
Organism: Schistosoma mansoni
Lineage: Eukaryota; Metazoa; Platyhelminthes; Trematoda; Strigeidida; Schistosomatidae
Source: Rfam